This 481-nucleotide ribosomal RNA is filed under the name uncultured bacterium. RNAcentral's name for it is "partial 16S ribosomal RNA". It matches the Rfam family "Bacterial small subunit ribosomal RNA", at positions 28 to 507 of the family's 1533-position model. The record is from RNAcentral.
GAUGAACGCUGGCGGCGUGCUUAACACAUGCAAGUCGAACGAAGCAUUUGCGACAGAUUUUUUCGGAAUGAAGUUGCUUAUGACUGAGUGGCGGACGGGUGAGUAACGCGUGGGUAACCUGCCUUGUACUGGGGGAUAGCAGCUGGAAACGGCUGGUAAUACCGCAUAAGCGCACAAUGUUGCAUGACAUGGUGUGAAAAACUCCGGUGGUAUAGGAUGGACCCGCGUCUGAUUAGCUAGUUGGUGAGAUAACAGCCCACCAAGGCGACGAUCAGUAGCCGACCUGAGAGGGUGACCGGCCACAUUGGGACUGAGACACGGCCCAGACUCCUACGGGAGGCAGCAGUGGGGAAUAUUGCACAAUGGAGGAAACUCUGAUGCAGCGACGCCGCGUGAGUGAAGAAGUAAUUCGUUAUGUAAAGCUCUAUCAGCAGGGAAGAUAGUGACGGUACCUGACUAAGAAGCUCCGGCUAAAUACGUG